RNAcentral lists this ribosomal RNA (443 nucleotides) under uncultured bacterium. Its description in RNAcentral is "partial 16S ribosomal RNA". It matches the Rfam family "Bacterial small subunit ribosomal RNA", at positions 338 to 795 of the family's 1533-position model. The record is from RNAcentral.
CCUACGGGAGGCAGCAGUGGGGAAUAUUGGGCAAUGGGCGCAAGCCUGACCCAGCAACGCCGCGUGAAGGAAGAAGGCUUUCGGGUUGUAAACUUCUUUUCUCAGGGACGAAGAAAGUGACGGUACCUGAGGAAUAAGCCACGGCCAACUACGUGCCAGCAGCCGCGUGCAUACGUAGGUGCCAAGGGUUAUCCGGAUUUAUUGGGUGUAAAGGGCGUGUAGGCGGGAGCGAAAGCCAGAUGUGAAAUCUCAGGGCUCAACCCUGGGCCUGCAUUUGAAACUGUGUUUCUUGAGUGCUGGAGAGGCAAGCGGAAUGCCGGGUGUAGCGGUGAAAUGCGUAGAUAUACGGAGGAACACCAGUGGCGAAGGCGGAUUGCUGGACAGUAACUGACGCUGAGGCGCGAAAGCGUGGGGAGCAAACAGGAUUAGAUACCCCUGUAGUC